CCUCUGGUAGCUCAGUUGGUAGAGCGGUGGACUGUAGAUCCAUAGGUCACUGGUUCAAAUCCGGCCCAGAGGA
This 73-nucleotide transfer RNA is filed under the name Schistocerca americana (American grasshopper). Its description in RNAcentral is "tRNA-Tyr". It matches the Rfam family "tRNA". From Rfam's summary of the family: Transfer RNA (tRNA) molecules are approximately 80 nucleotides in length. Their secondary structure includes four short double-helical elements and three loops (D, anti-codon, and T loops). Lineage: Eukaryota; Metazoa; Arthropoda; Insecta; Orthoptera; Acrididae. RNAcentral also lists the same sequence under 1 other name. The record is from RNAcentral.